Non-coding RNA from Rattus norvegicus (Norway rat), 69 nucleotides. NCBI's taxonomy places the organism in Eukaryota, Metazoa, Chordata, Mammalia, Rodentia, Muridae. The record is from Rfam.
GGGGAUUUAGCUCAGUGGUAGAGCGCUUGCCUAGCAAGCACAAGACCCUGGGUUCGGUCCCCAGCUCCG